RNAcentral lists this transfer RNA (56 nucleotides) under Bos taurus (domestic cattle). It matches the Rfam family "tRNA", at positions 8 to 63 of the family's 71-position model. Rfam says of the family: Transfer RNA (tRNA) molecules are approximately 80 nucleotides in length. Their secondary structure includes four short double-helical elements and three loops (D, anti-codon, and T loops). Further hydrogen bonds mediate the characteristic L-shaped molecular structure. tRNAs have two regions of fundamental functional importance: the anti-codon, which is responsible for specific mRNA codon recognition, and the 3' end, to which the tRNAs corresponding amino acid is attached (by aminoacyl-tRNA synthetases). tRNAs cope with the degeneracy of the genetic code in two manners: having more than one tRNA (with a specific anti-codon) for a particular amino acid; and 'wobble' base-pairing, i.e. permitting non-standard base-pairing at the 3rd anti-codon position. Lineage: Eukaryota; Metazoa; Chordata; Mammalia; Artiodactyla; Bovidae. RNAcentral also lists the same sequence under 1 other name. The record is from Rfam by way of RNAcentral.
UGGCUUAGAGGGUAAAGCACCUGCCUGCAAUGCAGGAGACCUGGGUUCAAUCCCUG